This 130-nucleotide small nucleolar RNA is filed under the name Marmota marmota marmota (Alpine marmot). RNAcentral's name for it is "Small nucleolar RNA SNORA25 (ENSMMMG00000018127.1)". The record is from RNAcentral. Lineage: Eukaryota; Metazoa; Chordata; Mammalia; Rodentia; Sciuridae.
CUGCUAAGAUCACAAAAGUAUACAGCUGUAAAACCAAGAACUCUUAAUACUAUAACAAAAUAUUGAAGUUUUCCACAGGGGGCCUAAGUCACUCAAUAGUGUUAUAAUAGUUAACUGAGGAGAUGGAUGA